Non-coding RNA from Delphinapterus leucas (beluga whale), 2120 nucleotides. The record is from RefSeq and is a predicted model, not a curated record. NCBI's taxonomy places the organism in Eukaryota, Metazoa, Chordata, Mammalia, Artiodactyla, Monodontidae.
UCUGGGAAUAACCGUGGGCCGCCUUCACGGCCAAGGGGUGUGAUGCGUGGUACUACAAGCGCUAACGGGAGAAGGCUGGCAAAUCUGACUAAAGUGAAAAAAAAAAAGAAAAAGACUUCUCAGAGAAACAAGCCGCAGGCCCGGAGGAGACGUCCGAGAGGCGUGUGGUGGCUGGAAAGCUUGUGUCCGGGAGGCCCAAGGACUCCUGGAGAAAAGCACAGACAUCCCGGUGGGAAGUGGGCAGAAGAGUUGGGCAAGUGCUUUAAAACGGAGGAAUCCAGGUGUCCGGUCAACACAGAAGGCGCUCGGGCGCAGUGCUAACCCGGGGACGCGUUAAAACCACAGGGACUGGCUUAGGCUGGUUGGAUUUUAGACACACUGCACCCGCGGGCUUGGCGGAAAUGAGACACUCUGACCUGCGCCGUGGGUGGACCGCGGGGAUCCUCUGACGCUGGCGGCGGCGUAGGCCGUGCGCCCACUCUGGGCGGUUGAGGGUCGUGAAGCAGAGGUGAAGGUGCGUGUACUUGCGAUCUAACAAUUCCGCUCUGUGGUAUUUACUCUAGAGAAAACCUGGCUCAAGGACACCCGGAGAAGCUACAGGAAUAUUCCUGGCGGCGUCGUUAAUAAGGACGAAGUCUGGAAACCCCCCCGAGUGUCUAAGGCGACGAUACUUCAGUGAAUUGUGGUAGACCGUGCAGCAGCACAGCUACCCAACAGCAGUGGGUGGCAUACGGCAACCAGGACGAACGGACUGUUGCGGUGGCCAAGACGUUCGUUCGUUUUUCCCGGUUUCUGUGGUCCCCAAGGUCCAUACACUUGGCCUGCUCCCCUGGCUGUAGAAGAAGAGGGGGCUCCUGCUGUCUCCCCCAGCUCCGUCUGCUGUGCUGCCUGCCAGGUGGAGUGAAGGCCACAUGGGACCAUCAAAGCCCUUUCCAUCAUCUUAGAUCCUGACCUUCCCAUGAAACCUGCCCAGGAGGAGGGGGCGACACCAAGAAGAAGGAGAAAAGCUGGUGGAGCAAAUGCUAAGACCUGCAGGUGUGGAGACCCUGAGUCCCGGCUGGGAGCCCAAGGAUGCAGGCAGGGUCCCAGCGAGGGCGGCUCAAGACGCCUUCCCUUGGCAUCCUUGUCAUUGUAGCUCAGGAACUGUCCAAGAGCACACAAGGCAGGUCCAAACCCGGACCUAAUGCAGGACUCACCCCGCGGGGCACCCACAGGCCCUCAGCGAGGAGCGUGUGCUCCACGGAAGGCUGUACCAUGCUUGCCAGGACUGGAGAGGCUGCCUGGAAACACUUUUUUUCCUGCCUUUAGAAAUUUGCUUGCACUUUCUAGAAAAUAUCCAUUAUAUAUAUAUAUAUUUUAUAUGUAAAAAUAUAAAUACACACACAUAUUCAGAUGUCUCCCUUGAAACUGUGAUGCCCCCACGUUAACAUUCUCAUCUUAAACAGAGAGCACUUGGCUUGGGGGUAGAGCUACCUGUAUGCUAAAUCAGCAGCUGUGGAUUGUCUCGCCCCUUAGGUUUCAGAUCUGCCUGGCUCUGUGAUGCACGAGGCUCCCCUGGGCUUUGAUGUCAGAAGAACUUGAGGUGCCCUGUCCCUCCCUCGGGUCCCCACACCCUGGAGCCUCAGCUCCUCCAUCUCUGCUUACCUGGCACGAGAUGCAAAGUGCCCGGAGCAGCUUGGCGCCAGUGGACAGAAACUCCUUUAAGCAGCUUCCAGCCUUGGAGGACCCGACAGAUCCAACUUUUUCAGUUUUACACUCAAUGUGCAAGUAUAACAUGAGUCGUCUUCAUUUAUCACCCAAGUGAGAAAACAUGGGUCUUUUAAAAACCUACCAAAUGUAAACUUUUCCUAAGACCUCAUCUAUACAAAGAAGUAACUACUAGUUGGACUGAACUUUCAAGACCUUUCUCUAUGCUUACUUAUUUCCUGAAAUGUUUUUUUAUUAAAAUAACGUGUAUUGCACAAAAUUCAGAAGAAAAUAUCAAAGUGAAAGAAGAAAUUUUUUAAAUUAUCCAUAACCCUGUGAGGUAGAGUGAUAACAACUAUGAAUAUUUUGGUGUUUUUCAUUCAUUUUGUGUAGAUACACAUGUAUAUAAAUAAAUACGUGCCAAUGUGGAAUGA